CCUACGGGAGGCAGCAGUCGAGAAUCAUUCACAAUGGGGGAAACCCUGAUGGUGCGACGCCGCGUGGGGGAAUGAAGGUCUUCGGAUUGUAAACCCCUGUCAUGUGGGAGCAAAUUAAAAAGAUAGUACCACAAGAGGAAGAGACGGCUAACUCUGUGCCAGCAGCCGCGGUAAUACAGAGGUCUCAAGCGUUGUUCGGAAUCACUGGGCGUAAAGCGUGCGUAGGCUGUUUCGUACGUCGUGUGGGAAAGUCCCGGGCUCAACCCGCGGACGGCACAUGAUACUGCGAGAUUAGAGUAAUGGAGGGGGAACCGGAAUGCUCGGUGUAGCAGUGAAAUGCGUAGAUAUCGAGAGGAACACUCGUGGCGAAGGCGGGUUCCUGGACAUUAACUGACGCUGAGGCACGAAGGCCAGGGGAGCGAAAGGGAUUAGAUACCCUUGUAGUC
This 446-nucleotide ribosomal RNA is filed under the name uncultured bacterium. Its description in RNAcentral is "partial 16S ribosomal RNA". It matches the Rfam family "Bacterial small subunit ribosomal RNA", at positions 338 to 795 of the family's 1533-position model. The record is from RNAcentral.